RNAcentral lists this ribosomal RNA (305 nucleotides) under uncultured bacterium. RNAcentral's name for it is "bacterial SSU rRNA". It matches the Rfam family "Bacterial small subunit ribosomal RNA", at positions 333 to 635 of the family's 1533-position model. The record is from RNAcentral.
AUUGUCCUACGGGGCGCAGCAGUGGGGAAUAUUGCACAAUGGGGGAAACCCUGAUGCAGCAACGUCGCGUGAGGGAAGAAGGCCCUGCGGGUCGCAGACCUCUUUGGACGGGGAGCAAGGCCGCCGACAUGUCGGCGGAAGGAGAGUACCCGUAGAACAAGCAUCGGCUAACUCCGUGCCAGCAGCCGCGGUAAUACGGAGGAUGCGAGCGUUAUCCGGAUUUAUUGGGUUUAAAGGGUGCGCAGGCGGCACGGCAAGCCGGCGGUCAAAUCGCGGGGCUCAACCCCGCCCAGCCGUCGGAACUG